RNAcentral lists this ribosomal RNA (255 nucleotides) under uncultured bacterium. RNAcentral describes it as "partial 16S ribosomal RNA". It matches the Rfam family "Bacterial small subunit ribosomal RNA", at positions 57 to 305 of the family's 1533-position model. The record is from RNAcentral.
GCAAGUCGAGCGGUAACAGAUGAAGAGCUUGCUCAGAUUGCUGACGACCGGCGCACGGGUGAGUAACGCGUAUAGAAUCUACCUUACACUGAGGGAUAGCCUUUGGAAACGAAGAUUAAUACCUCAUGGUAUCAUUGACUGGCAUCGGUUGAUGAUUAAAGGUUACGGUGUAAGAUGACUAUGCGUCCUAUUAGCUAGAUGGUAAGGUAACGGCUUACCAUGGCAACGAUAGGUAGGGGCCCUGAGAGGGGGAUC